Molecule: ribosomal RNA, 253 nt
Filed under: uncultured prokaryote
Description: partial 16S ribosomal RNA
Rfam family: Bacterial small subunit ribosomal RNA
Source: RNAcentral
UACGUAGGGUGCAAGCGUUGUCCGGAAUUAUUGGGCGUAAAGAGCUCGUAGGCGGUUUGUCGCGUCGAAUGUGAAAACCCGGGGCUCAACCCCGGGCCUGCAUUCGAUACGGGCAGACUAGAGUUCGGUAGGGGAGUCUGGAAUUCCUGGUGUAGCGGUGAAAUGCGCAGAUAUCAGGAGGAACACCGGUGGCGAAGGCGGCUACCUGGACAAUUACUGACGCUCAGGCACGAAAGCGUGGGGAGCAAAAGGG